This 407-nucleotide ribosomal RNA is filed under the name uncultured bacterium. RNAcentral describes it as "partial 16S ribosomal RNA". It matches the Rfam family "Bacterial small subunit ribosomal RNA", at positions 30 to 526 of the family's 1533-position model. The record is from RNAcentral.
AUUGAACGCUGGCGGCAGGCCUAACACAUGCAAGUCGAGCGGAUCGGCGGAGGGGGGCGUAAUGCCAAGGAAUCUGCCAGGUAGUGGGGGAUAACGUUCGGUAACGGGCGCUAAUACCGCAUCCUCUCAGAAGAGCCUAGGUCGAAUUAGCUAGCUGGUGGGGUAAAGGCCUACCAAGGCGACGAUCCGUAACUGGUCUGAGAGGAGGAUCAGUCACACUGGAACUGAGACACGGUCCAGACUCCUACGGGAGGCAGCAGUGGGGAAUAUUGGACAAUGGGCGAAAGCCUGAUGCAGCCAUGCCGCGUGUGUGAAGAAGGUCUUCGGAUUGUAAAGUACUUUAAGUUGGGAGGCGUUACCAGCAGAAUAAGCACCGGCUAACUUCGUGCCAGCCGCCGCGGUAAUUC